Molecule: long non-coding RNA, 3334 nt
Organism: Passer montanus (Eurasian tree sparrow)
Lineage: Eukaryota; Metazoa; Chordata; Aves; Passeriformes; Passeridae
Exons: 2
Source: RefSeq, a predicted model, not a curated record
CUCCAUGAUUUACAGGUAGCAACACCUCAUUUUCUCCAUGUAGAAGUCAUAUGUCACCCAGGCACUACCCAGGGCCACACACACACCCAGCACCCACAUCCCAGCCCAAACCCUGAGCCAGCUCACCACAAGUCACACACAGAGAGCAAUGCCACAUACUGCCACCAGACGUGCUCCCUGCACAACACAGGCAGUGUCCCCAAUCUUCCACAGUUCCAUGGUGGCACAAACCAGAGAGAUGGGCAUAUGGAACUGGAACUGGUCAGAGAAGCAAUGCAGCCAGCUGUCCUGCUCCACCUGAUCAUGGCACCAGCUGCAUUCAAACCAAACCAGCUCCAUGAUAGCCUAGACCUCUUCUCUGAGCUUCACAAAGAACCUUUCAUCCUCCAGCAGAGAUGAAAACCCUUCCAUGCUCCUUCAGGAGGCAGCCAGCUCCAGCAGCUCCCUUUGGAAUCCUACCCCAGGAGCCAGGUCACUGCAUGGCUCUGCCCAUAGGCCCCUUGCACAGUCCCUGGGUGAACAGCUCCAGCUCCUGCUCCAAGCCCUGCCUGCUGCCAGCUUGUCACGUUUUGGAGUAUUUGAUUUCACUCUUAAGAGCACCUGUCUGGCAGUGGUACAGGCAGGCAGAACCUGCCUGCUCUUUGUUCUUGGCCAGGCAGAGCACGGAGCAGGACACCUGCCUCGGUUUCCCUCUGAGCUCAGGUGCAGGGCUGUGAGCUGGGGGACUGGGUCCAUCCUGGAUCAGGAAUGGGGGGCUGAAAGGCUGAGCCCAGCCCUGCUCCCACUGGAGGCUCCUCAUCUCCAGGGCUCAUCUCCCCAAGCAGGAUACUGAUGCCAGCAGCCAGCUACUAAUUGGAUCUACUUAAAUCAGCAGCUACGUCUGCAGACACAGCUGAAACACAAGCUUGAGCAGGAAGGAGGAUAAUGCAAUAAAUUCAAACAGCUCUCCCCGAGGGAAUCACACAACCCCCUGAAACUUCCCUCUUUGCAGAUACAGCCCAUUACCCUUCCCUGGGCCUGCUGUGCCAGUGCAGAGCCAAGCAGCAGUCGAAAAAGUAACCAGCCCAAAGCCCCCUGAAACACCAAGCUCCCCCAGCUUCCUGCUCCCAGCAGCGGAGGAAAGGCAGACCAGUUACAGCACAACACUCAAACAGUCCCUGUGGCCACGGGAGCCUCUCUGGUUAACGCUCAAAUCCCGCUCCUCCCUCCCUCCCUCCCUGAGGCAGGCAGCAGCGCUGAGUGCACUGGGUUUCCCAUUAAAGAGAUCCUGGGAGACAGCACUGGGCUGGUACACGUGAGCACGUGUCCGAGAGAAGACACGGGCGGCUGGAGAGAUGCUGCCUGCACCGAGCUGCAGCGGGCGUUCCCGCCUGCAGGCAGUCCUUCCCAGCACUGCUCAGCCCUCCAAUUCUUUUUUUUUUUUGCUAACUAAAUUAAAGAUGAGGAUAAAAUAAGCAAAAUACCUAAAAAUAAAAAAUAAACCGAGCAUUUCUACAGCACAACUAGGUCACAGCUCCCCAGCAUGUGAGUUGUGGCAGCCACGGCUCAGCCCCUUGAGCCUCCUGGGUUCAAAACUGACAUCUCUCUUAAAAGGCUGCUCCCGAAACCCACACCUGCUCUCCGGUGAGCCCAGCUGGAGCCAUCUGCUAACGGCUCUGCCUCCCAGCAGCCCUCGGCACCCUCGUUCUGCUGUGGCACAGAAACCCUUCUCCCCACCUGACCACCAUGGGUGCCAGCCCGUGCCCUGCGCCUGCCCCACUGCCCCCCUCCAUGGGUGCACUGUGGGAGAAGCUCUCCCACGCCUCUGGAAUGCAUGUUCCCUAACUUGAGCCCUUGGCAUCUCAGGAAUGAUUAGGAGCUGGACUUCAGAGAGAUCUGGCACCAAGAAGCCCUCCCGCACAUCCUUCCAGGUGAGGAGCAGGGAGGAGGAAGCCUCCCUGCCCAAGGUCAGGGCAAUAAAGCCAGGAAUGCCCUGGCACUGAGGGACUCUGCUUCCCUUUCAUGUCUCCACUCUCUGCGUUAAUCUUUAGUGGCUCAGAACAAUAGUGUUUAAGGGCAACAUCCCUCCCUUGUGGGAGGGUGGAGCGGGAGAGCAGAGGGUGGAGGACAGUGGCUGCUCUCCUGCCACCGCAAGGCAGAGCCACCCUCAGUGAAUACCUUCUCUCUGAAUCAGCAGUUCAGCAGGUCUGCAACACUUCUACAACUGAUAUCCAUCCCUUCCCUUCCCCCAGCUCCUCCCGGGAAUACUCUGGCUUUACAGCUAGUGGGGAAAGAGCUGCUAGAGAAACACUCCUUGUAACGUCAAGAUGGGACUCUGCUUACAGCCAUCAGCUGCUUGGUAAAAACCAGAGGAAACCAAACCUUCUCAGCUUCAGCCAAGGUCUCAGAGCACCACAACACCAUUCAGCUGCACCCAGUGUGUGCUGCAGGCGUGUUGCUGCUCCUGGGGGGAACCACGUACACAAACCAUACCAGAGCUCCACGGAAUCAGGCACACACAGAAAGCUGCAGCUUCCACUGGGGAAAAGAGAGCUCCCACCCACCCUUUCUGCUGUGCUGGGACACCCCACUGCUGCUGAAGCAGAGAGAGACCCCGGGCAGCGCUCCAGGGACACGGUUCCAGCGUCAGAGAGGAGCAGGAUGAGCAGGCGGAAUGACAUUACUGAGAGCAGCUGUGAACACAGAGCAGCAAGAAACAGUUUGUUAAUUAUUUCACAGGUCUUUUUUUAAAUGACACUCAGCUCUUCGGAUUAAAGAGCCUCGGAGUGCUUUACGAAUCAGAGUUGCCAGUGGCUCCCCUGGGAGUGAAGGAAAUGCUAUCCCUCUCGCUCAAAGACCCCGGGGUUAAGUGGGCUGCUCUGAGCCACAGGCAGGAGUUUGGCUUUCCAGGCGCCUGCUGUAAUCACAGAUCUAAGGAACGUAAUCAAACUGCACCACACACCGAGAGGCAGCAAGGAAAACAGGCAGGGCCCCAAAGAAGGAGAACCAGUAAAGGGGGUAAAGAGCAAAGCUCUGAAAUCAGCCUCUGCACUGCUCUUGGUCUAGCGGCAGGAAUGCUGCUGUGGGCCGGGCAGGAAGCUGCAGUGGAAGUCAUUCCAAUGGCAUUUCCUGGAGAGCGCUGCAGAAAAGCCUCCCAGGUCGAAGGCUGGCUGAGGAGCUGCCAGGGAUCUGCACGCUGAGCCCAGAUCUCCAGCUGUCAGUGAGGAUACAGCUACCUGGGCUGGUUGCUCCAGGCAGGACAGCCUGAGUCAGGGCACGGCUGGCACCUCCCACAGCCAGGGAGGAAUACCCAGGACUGUGAAGGGACAUGGGGAACCCCACUGGCAGGAGGACA